GUACUGAAAACUGAUAAGUAGUGAAAGCGACCUCGUCGGUGUCUAGAAUACCCGCGGUAUGACGCAUCCUCUGACACUUGUCCAAAACGUCCUUGGCAUCCUCGCCCUCUGCACCAAUGAAUGUCGGAGGCUGAAGCGUGGAAAAUCUCUCCAACCUAAAAUGCUCAUCCUAUAGCAGGAACUACAUAGUCCUGAUCAGCUGCAAACAGGCUGGGCUGGAUGUGUCCCCGGCAUUUGAAGUCCAU
RNAcentral lists this long non-coding RNA (245 nucleotides) under Nicotiana benthamiana. RNAcentral describes it as "long non-coding RNA (NBEN_LNC032898)". Lineage: Eukaryota; Viridiplantae; Streptophyta; Magnoliopsida; Solanales; Solanaceae. The record is from RNAcentral.